This 253-nucleotide ribosomal RNA is filed under the name uncultured bacterium. RNAcentral describes it as "partial 16S ribosomal RNA". It matches the Rfam family "Bacterial small subunit ribosomal RNA", at positions 524 to 776 of the family's 1533-position model. The record is from RNAcentral.
UACGUAGGGACCGAGCGUUGUCCGGAUUCAUUGGGCGUAAAGAGCUCGUAGGCGGCUGUUCAAGUCGAACGUGAAAACUCGGAGCUCAACUCCGAGCCUGCGUUCGAUACUGGACGGCUAGAGUCUGGUAGGGGGAUCUGGAAUUCCUGGUGUAGCGGUGGAAUGCGCAGAUAUCAGGAGGAGCACCGGUGGCGAAGGCGGGAUCCUGGGCCAGUACUGACGCUGAGAUACGAAAGCGUGGGGAUCAAACAGG